AGCAUGGUCUUAGCUUGCUAAGGCCGAUGGCGACCGGCGCACGGGUGAGUAACACGUAUCCACCCUGCCGUCUACUCUUGGACAGCCUUCUGAAAGGAAGAUUACUACAAGAUGGCAUCAUGAGUCCGCAUGUUCACAUGAUUAAAGGUAUUCCGGUAGACGAUGGGGAUGCGUUCCAUUAGAUAGUAGGCGGGGUAACGGCCCACCUAGUCUUCGAUGGAUAGGGGUUCUGAGAGGAAGGUCCCCCACAUUGGAACUGAGACACGGUCCAAACUCCUACGGGAGGCAGCAGUGAGGAAUAUUGGUCAAUGGGCGAGAGCCUGAACCAGCCAAGUAGCGUGAAGGAUGACUGCCCUAUGGGUUGUAAACUUCUUUUAUAAAGGAAUAAAGUCGGGUAUGGAUACCCGUUUGCAUGUACUUUAUGAAUAAGGAUCGGCUAACUCCGUGCCAGCAGCCGCGGUAAUACGGAGGAUCCGAGCGUUAUCCGGAUUUAUUGGGUUUAAAGGGAGCGUAGAUGGAUGUUUAAGUCAGUUGUGAAAGUUUGCGGCUCAACCGUAAAAUUGCAGUUGAUACUGGAUAUCUUGAGUGCAGUUGAGGCAGGCGGAAUUCGUGGUGUAGCGGUGAAAUGCUUAGAUAUCACGAAGAACUCCGAUUG
This 655-nucleotide ribosomal RNA is filed under the name uncultured Bacteroides sp. Its description in RNAcentral is "bacterial SSU rRNA". It matches the Rfam family "Bacterial small subunit ribosomal RNA", at positions 68 to 715 of the family's 1533-position model. Lineage: Bacteria; Pseudomonadati; Bacteroidota; Bacteroidia; Bacteroidales; Bacteroidaceae. The record is from RNAcentral.